CCCUUAGAUGUUCUGGGCCGCACGCGCGCUACACUGAUGCAUUCAACGAGUUUCUUCCUGGUCCGAGAGGAAUGGGUAACCUUUUGAAAGUGCAUCGUGAUAGGGAUAGACUAUUGCAAUUAUUGGUCUUCAACGAGGAAUUCCUAGUAGACGUAGUUCAUCAGACUGCAUCGAUUACGUCCCUGCCCUUUGUACACACCGCCCGUCGCUCCUACCGAUUGAAUGCUCAGGUGAGCCAUUCGGACUUUGAUCAUGCUGGUUUCCAGUUUUGAUGAAGGAAAGUCUUGCGAACCUUAUCAUUUAGAGGAAGGAGAAGUCGUAACA
This 324-nucleotide ribosomal RNA is filed under the name uncultured eukaryote. RNAcentral describes it as "partial 18S ribosomal RNA". It matches the Rfam family "Eukaryotic small subunit ribosomal RNA", at positions 1470 to 1796 of the family's 1831-position model. The record is from RNAcentral.